AGCUUGUUCUCAGCUGCUCUACACGGUCCAUGUAAUCUAUUACUCGAUACGAUCAGAGGAUUACACCCUGUAUUAGAACUUUGUAAAGUAUUGAUCUGAUUCUCCUCAGUUAUCUUCAUGUCUCCUCUCCAGACCACUGUUUAAUCAUUGUGAGGAGGAGCAGGGAGGAGGAGGAAGAGGAGGAGGAGGAGGAGGAGGAGGAGGACGAUCAACUUCUGGCCGCAGCCCGCGCUGCUCUCCGGGUGUCAGUCGUCCUGCUGCUCACAUUAAACUAAUUAAAGUAAUGAAGGUGAUUAAACCGGAGCAGAUCCGCAGCUCCACAUCCUCUCUGGACUCCGGAUCAUUUAAUUCUUCUCCACAGAUCGUCUGCAGCUCUCCUCCUCCUCCUCCUCCUCCGCCUCUCCGGCUCCAGGCUCACAUGUGAGGAGGGUUUUGGCUUCUCGAUUCAAACCGGAGGAUUUUCAGCGUUGUUGUCCUCCCGGAGUCGUCCCGGUGUCAGACUCGUGGACCGGACUUGAUUCCUGCGGCUCUGGUAGUUUCCUGCGCGUCUCUGCGCUGCGCGGCGGUGCGUGGGGAGGUUUACUUCUCUUCAGACUGUUUCAGAGGAUGUUUGCACGAUUUAUUUCGGACUGAAGAUGUUUGACAGCUUCAGUUUUCUGCCUCUGAUCAGUUCGGUUCGGUUCCGUCUUCCUCUCCAGCAGAAAGCUGAUGUCUUACUUCUGCCUGGAUCCAUUUCAGGAAUUUAAACCAGGAAUUUUUUAUUAUUUCUAAAUCGUCAAAUCUGUGGAUUGAUUUUUCUACCAGGACUCACUUCCGACUUUGUUUCGCUCACUUUGCUUCUGUUUGUUCUUCAUCCACGUGUUACAUUCAUCAUAUUUCCUGGAUAAGAGGAAAUCCUGGAACCAGAACAGAGACUCCCUGAUCUUCCACUUCAUCCAUCGCCUUUGUCUCACAUCAGAAUUUUGCUUUAGAGGAGAGAAAGAGGAGCCCACCAGAACCAAAGAAGCAGGUAACUUCAAGGAACCAUGGACAUCUGGAGGGACUCUGAGGAUUUUAAAGACCACCAAUGAUCCACCUUGGGGGGCCUGUGAAAAACCUUCAAAAACAACCCUGGAGGAAAUUUGACAAACCCAUUUAAGAAACUAGAGGGAUCUGAGAAUCCCAAUGAAACUUUAAACCUUAACCCAAAGCCUUAGGAGCUGUCAAACAUCUGGAGAAAAACUAUUUCAGGGAACCCCAGAAGCAAGCUAAGGCCCCUGAAGCCCUUGAAGAUGCCUGUACGAAUCCUAAAAGAACCUUGAAAAAACCCUCUGAGAACCUCUAGACCACAGUGGUUCCGAUGAAAUCUUGGGGACUGCUGAGAAUCUGAGAAAAACCCAAAAGAUCAUUGUGAUGAGCCCUGAGUAGCCCUAGAUGAUUCUGAGUGACCCUUAAGACUUAUCUUAAGAACCUCCCUGAGAGACUUUAGAGGGACCCUUGAGACCUCCAGGAACUGCUGGGAAACUAGCAAAACUGAUUAAGUAGCCCAAGGAAGCCCAGUAGAUUUGUAGACCCCUGAAGACCAUUUAAGAAUCUCUGAAAAAAGACCAAAAAUAUAAAAAAUUAAAAUUAAUAACCUGAAGAACCUUUCUGAGAACCUCUAGAGGGACCUUCAAGGCCCCAACAAAAUCUUGUGAUUACUGUGAACCUGGAUGGACCCAGCAGGAAACUUUGAAGGGCCCUGGGGAACCACAGAAUGACCUCAGGAUCCCAGAGAGAGAUCUCAGAGGAAUGCUGUAGAUACUAGACUGACUUUAAGACCCAGAGAAAACCUGGAGAAUCUCUGCCACGCCCUAAAAAAGGUUUAAGUUACCCUGACGGACACUGAAGCACCUUUACACAACCUAGAAAUCACCAAGACUCUGAAGAAACCAAGGUGCUGCUAAGUAAUCAGAAAGAAUCUAGGGGGAACAGGAAGGGUUGAAGACUUUGAGGAUCCCAACAGUUAAGUACUUUGAGGAACCCUUUCGGGACCCUCAAGCUCCAGAGGAAAUCUGGGGACCACAGAGGACCCCCCAAACACUCUAGAGGAACCCUGAGAACUCUUGG
Sparus aurata (gilthead seabream) is the source of this 2088-nucleotide long non-coding RNA. The record is from Ensembl. NCBI's taxonomy places the organism in Eukaryota, Metazoa, Chordata, Actinopteri, Spariformes, Sparidae.